RNAcentral lists this ribosomal RNA (900 nucleotides) under Pseudoalteromonas arctica. Its description in RNAcentral is "bacterial SSU rRNA". It matches the Rfam family "Bacterial small subunit ribosomal RNA", at positions 379 to 1272 of the family's 1533-position model. The record is from RNAcentral. Lineage: Bacteria; Pseudomonadati; Pseudomonadota; Gammaproteobacteria; Alteromonadales; Pseudoalteromonadaceae.
CAGCCUGAUGCAGCCAUGCCGCGUGUGUGAAGAAGGCCUUCGGGUUGUAAAGCACUUUCAGUCAGGAGGAAAGGUUAGUGGUUAAUACCCGUUAGCUGUGACGUUACUGACAGAAGAAGCACCGGCUAACUCCGUGCCAGCAGCCGCGGUAAUACGGAGGGUGCGAGCGUUAAUCGGAAUUACUGGGCGUAAAGCGUACGCAGGCGGUUUGUUAAGCGAGAUGUGAAAGCCCCGGGCUCAACCUGGGAACUGCAUUUCGAACUGGCAAACUAGAGUGUGAUAGAGGGUGGUAGAAUUUCAGGUGUAGCGGUGAAAUGCGUAGAGAUCUGAAGGAAUACCGAUGGCGAAGGCAGCCACCUGGGUCAACACUGACGCUCAUGUACGAAAGCGUGGGGAGCAAACGGGAUUAGAUACCCCGGUAGUCCACGCCGUAAACGAUGUCUACUAGAAGCUCGGAGCCUCGGUUCUGUUUUUCAAAGCUAACGCAUUAAGUAGACCGCCUGGGGAGUACGGCCGCAAGGUUAAAACUCAAAUGAAUUGACGGGGGCCCGCACAAGCGGUGGAGCAUGUGGUUUAAUUCGAUGCAACGCGAAGAACCUUACCUACACUUGACAUACAGAGAACUUACCAGAGAUGGUUUGGUGCCUUCGGGAACUCUGAUACAGGUGCUGCAUGGCUGUCGUCAGCUCGUGUUGUGAGAUGUUGGGUUAAGUCCCGCAACGAGCGCAACCCCUAUCCUUAGUUGCUAGCAGGUAAUGCUGAGAACUCUAAGGAGACUGCCGGUGAUAAACCGGAGGAAGGUGGGGACGACGUCAAGUCAUCAUGGCCCUUACGUGUAGGGCUACACACGUGCUACAAUGGCGCAUACAGAGUGCUGCGAACUCGCGAGAGUAAGCGAAU